Molecule: ribosomal RNA, 494 nt
Filed under: uncultured bacterium
Lineage: Bacteria
Description: bacterial SSU rRNA
Rfam family: Bacterial small subunit ribosomal RNA
Source: RNAcentral
GAUGAACGCUAGCGGCAGGCUUAAUACAUGCAAGUCGAGGGGCAGCGCAGUGUAGCAAUACAUGGGCGGCGACCGGCAAACGGGUGCGGAACACGUACAGAACCUUCCUUCGAGCGGGGAAUAGCCCAGAGAAAUUUGGAUUAAUACCCCAUAGUAUAUUAGAGUGGCAUCACUUUAAUAUUAAAGAUUUAUCACUUGAAGAUGGCUGUGCGGCUGAUUAGGAGUUGGCGGGGUAACGGCCCACCAAGCCAGCGAUCAGUAACUGGUGUGAGAGCACGACCAGUCACACGGGCACUGAGACACGGGCCCGACUCCUACGGGAGGCAGCAGUAAGGAAUAUUGGUCAAUGGACGCAAGUCUGAACCAGCCAUGCCGCGUGGAGGAUGAAGGUCCUCUGGAUUGUAAACUUCUUUUAUAUGGACGAAAAAGGCUUUCUAAGUCGUCUGACGGUACCAUAUGAAUAAGCACCGGCUAACUCCGUGCCAGCCGCCGCC